RNAcentral lists this ribosomal RNA (301 nucleotides) under uncultured bacterium. Its description in RNAcentral is "partial 16S ribosomal RNA". It matches the Rfam family "Bacterial small subunit ribosomal RNA", at positions 509 to 809 of the family's 1533-position model. The record is from RNAcentral.
CAGUAGCCGCGGGAAUACAGAGGGUGCGAGCGUUAAUCGGAUUUACUGGGCGUAAAGCGUGCGUAGGCGGCUUUUUAAGUCGGAUGUGAAAUCCCUGAGCUUAACUUAGGAAUUGCAUUCGAUACUGGGAAGCUAGAGUAUGGGAGAGGAUGGUAGAAUUCCAGGUGUAGCGGUGAAAUGCGUAGAGAUCUGGAGGAAUACCGAUGGCGAAGGCAGCCAUCUGGCCUAAUACUGACGCUGAGGUACGAAAGCAUGGGGAGCAAACAGGAUUAGAGACCCCAGUAGUCCCUGUCUCUUAUAA